Gadus macrocephalus (Pacific cod) is the source of this 941-nucleotide long non-coding RNA. RefSeq lists it as uncharacterized. The transcript has 3 exons. NCBI's taxonomy places the organism in Eukaryota, Metazoa, Chordata, Actinopteri, Gadiformes, Gadidae. The record is from RefSeq and is a predicted model, not a curated record.
ACAAACACCCAGGAGCAAGAGUGAGGACCAAUCCGUGUCUAUUAUGGGUUCCAUGGAGCCAGCGGUCUGGGGACCAGAAAUGGAUCCAUGUCCGUCCAGAUCCUUUUACGUCACACUCUUACGCUCCCGUGGCGUCACCCUAACCAGAAGUUUUGAGUUUUCCAGACGGCGUCCUCAGCCUCGCGGGCCGCGACACAGCAGGACGAGUGAUGCUCGUGGGAUCUUCACCCAUGAGCGGGAAGAGUGGAGAACACAAAGCCCUCCUCCAUCCUCCUCCCAGUGGGCCUAGAGAAUGCCCUGAUCAGCCAACCGUCUGUCUUCAAUCGGGACGUACAGGUCAACUAUUGAGUUUGUCUCUGAAGCAUCUCUCCACCCACCACUCCACCUCCACCCUUUUUUUGUGUGUGGCCAAAAGCGAACAAUAAAGUAGGUUACAAAGCCCUCAACUCGCCAUGGAAUAAGGGAGCUUUUUUAUAUCAAGCACUCUGAACACCCUCCUUCCUUUAAAGGGCUUAACCGCUUUCUGGUCUUAAAUAACCUUGUAUACAAUCUAUGUAUACAGACUAAGCUCCAACAAGGUGAUAAUACAGUCGACAAGCACCGAAUCCUUCAGAGUUAACAUUUAGUCCUUUAAUACAAACAACGGACAGGUUCCAUUCCGCACGUCAGGUGCCUGGAAAUUCCGCGCAAAAUAUGGCGGGCCGAAUCUAUAUAAUUACUCUGAUCGAAUUUACGCAAGAACUUUUUUGAUGACAAAACAUUGUUUCGGUAUAGCGAGACAGACACACGCAUCAAUAUAUAUAUAUGCAUUCCAGAAGGCAGCAAAAAAGACACUAACACACACUGUUAACCUCUCCCUUAUACAAGCACGCACGGUGCACGAACAACUGACACAAACACAAAUGCGCAUGGACGGACGCAAGCGUGAACGCACGCGUGCA